RNAcentral lists this transfer RNA (76 nucleotides) under Kordiimonadaceae bacterium. RNAcentral's name for it is "tRNA-Thr". It matches the Rfam family "tRNA". From Rfam's summary of the family: Transfer RNA (tRNA) molecules are approximately 80 nucleotides in length. Their secondary structure includes four short double-helical elements and three loops (D, anti-codon, and T loops). Further hydrogen bonds mediate the characteristic L-shaped molecular structure. tRNAs have two regions of fundamental functional importance: the anti-codon, which is responsible for specific mRNA codon recognition, and the 3' end, to which the tRNAs corresponding amino acid is attached (by aminoacyl-tRNA synthetases). tRNAs cope with the degeneracy of the genetic code in two manners: having more than one tRNA (with a specific anti-codon) for a particular amino acid; and 'wobble' base-pairing, i.e. permitting non-standard base-pairing at the 3rd anti-codon position. Lineage: Bacteria; Pseudomonadati; Pseudomonadota; Alphaproteobacteria; Kordiimonadales; Kordiimonadaceae. The record is from RNAcentral.
GCCGCUUUAGCUCAGCUGGUAGAGCACGUCAUUCGUAAUGACGGGGCCACAGGUUCAAGUCCUGUAAGCGGCACCA